CUUAUCCUACGGGGGGCAGCAGUAGGGAAUCUUCGGCAAUGGACGAAAGUCUGACCGAGCAACGCCGCGUGAGUGAAGAAGGUUUUCGGAUCGUAAAACUCUGUUGGUAGAGAAGAACGUUGGUGAGAGUGGAAAGCUCAUCAAGUGAAGGUAAAUACCCAGAAAGGGACGGCUAACUACGUGCCAGCAGCCGCGGGAAUACGUAGGUCCCGCGCGUUGUCCGGAUUUAUUGGGCAUAAAGCGAGCGCAGGUGGUUUAUUAAGUCUGAUGU
Molecule: ribosomal RNA, 271 nt
Filed under: uncultured bacterium
Lineage: Bacteria
Description: partial 16S ribosomal RNA
Rfam family: Bacterial small subunit ribosomal RNA
Source: RNAcentral